This 31-nucleotide non-coding RNA is filed under the name Rattus norvegicus (Norway rat). The record is from RNAcentral. Lineage: Eukaryota; Metazoa; Chordata; Mammalia; Rodentia; Muridae.
UGAAGAAAAAUGUGCCUACAAUGUCCCUAGU